GUCUUUUUGAUAAUAAUUUAAAGUCUCGCCUGCCCACUGAUUUAUUAAAUGGCCGCGGUAUUUUGACCGUGCAAAGGUAGCAUAAUCAUUAGUUUUUUAAUUGAAAGCUGGAAUGAAUGGUUGGAUAAGAAAAAAUCUGUCUCAAAUUUAAUUUUAUAGAAUUUUAUUUUUAAGUAAAAAAGCUUAAAUAUUUUUAAAAGACGAGAAGACCCUAUAGAGUUUUAUAAAAUUUAAUAUUUUUUUAAUAAAGAAUUUAAGUAUUUAAAUAUUAAAUUUUAUUUGAUUGGGGUGAUUAAAAAAUUAAAGAAACUUUUUUUAUAAAAUUACAUUGAUAUAUGAAUAAAUGAUCCAUAUUAAAUGAUUAAAAGAAUAAAUUACCUUAGGGAUAACAGCGUAAUUUUUUCAAAGAGUUCAAAUCGAAGAAAAAGAUUGCGACCUCGAUGUUGGAUUAAAAUUAAUAUUUGGUGUAGAAGCUAAAUAAUUAGGUCUGUUCGACCUUUAAAAUUUUACA
Molecule: ribosomal RNA, 511 nt
Filed under: Encymon immaculatus
Lineage: Eukaryota; Metazoa; Arthropoda; Insecta; Coleoptera; Endomychidae
Description: partial 16S ribosomal RNA
Rfam family: Bacterial large subunit ribosomal RNA
Source: RNAcentral